RNAcentral lists this ribosomal RNA (433 nucleotides) under uncultured bacterium. RNAcentral describes it as "partial 16S ribosomal RNA". It matches the Rfam family "Bacterial small subunit ribosomal RNA", at positions 29 to 507 of the family's 1533-position model. The record is from RNAcentral.
AACGAACGCUGGCGGCAGGCCUAACACAUGCAAGUCGAGCGGACCCUUCGGGGUUAGCGGCGGACGGGUGAGUAACGCGUGGGAAUAUGCCCUUCUCUACGGAAUAGUCCUGGGAAACUGGGGGUAAUACCGUAUACGCCCUUUGGGGGAAAGAUUUAUCGGGGAAGGAUUAGCCCGCGUUGGAUUAGGUAGUUGGUGGGGUAAUGGCCUACCAAGCCGACGAUCCAUAGCUGGUUUGAGAGGAUGAUCAGCCACACUGGGACUGAGACACGGCCCAGACUCCUACGGGAGGCAGCAGUGGGGAAUCUUAGACAAUGGGGGCAACCCUGAUCUAGCCAUGCCGCGUGAGUGAUGAAGGCCUUAGGGUUGUAAAGCUCUUUCAGCUGGGAAGAUAAUGACGGUACCAGCAGAAGGAGCCCCGGCUAACUCCGUG